Molecule: non-coding RNA, 26 nt
Filed under: Cricetulus griseus (Chinese hamster)
Lineage: Eukaryota; Metazoa; Chordata; Mammalia; Rodentia; Cricetidae
Also listed under: 1 other name
Source: RNAcentral
CGCUGUAGAUGGACAAGCUUGAUUGU